Long non-coding RNA from Engraulis encrasicolus (European anchovy), 342 nucleotides. RefSeq lists it as uncharacterized. The record is from RefSeq and is a predicted model, not a curated record. NCBI's taxonomy places the organism in Eukaryota, Metazoa, Chordata, Actinopteri, Clupeiformes, Engraulidae. The transcript has 3 exons.
AGCGGAAGUGUUAUUGUAGCCAUUUCGACCGUGCCACAACGAUGCCGACAGCUCUCUUUGCCACCCCUACAACGUGCUUGUUCAAGCAGCUCCUUUUCUUUCAGGUUUUGUGCUUAGAAAGAGUGACAUGAUGCAGGAUGGAGUUGCGAGGAGUUCCCGGACACGGUCAGAGAUGGCUGGAACAGUCGGAUGGAUUUGCAAUCAUGCAAUAAAUGCCCACAUAAGACGCCAUGGUCAAAUGGUUGGAGAUCGUUGAGAGUUUGCAGCUAUUGAUGAAAGUUGUUUCCUUAAUAAAAGCAAGUAUCACCACAGAAGGGCCGGUGCAACAUGGCGACGGAAAAA